This is a long non-coding RNA of Drosophila innubila, 199 nucleotides long. RefSeq lists it as uncharacterized. The transcript has 2 exons. Lineage: Eukaryota; Metazoa; Arthropoda; Insecta; Diptera; Drosophilidae. The record is from RefSeq and is a predicted model, not a curated record.
AAACAGUUGGCUGGAAAUUUCUUGGAAUUCAGUUGAAAAUGAAAAUAUUGUUGAUUUUGGUAAGCUUGUGCGCUAUUUGCCACGCCUUCCAACCCGAAGAUAAUGCUGUGCCUCGUGGUCGUCCGCCGUAUAACCGACAAAAUGGCGUAAACGGCUAAAAAGUACAGUUACUUCUGAUUAGCCCGAUUCCUUGAAGGUU